Molecule: ribosomal RNA, 297 nt
Filed under: Micromonas pusilla
Lineage: Eukaryota; Viridiplantae; Chlorophyta; Mamiellophyceae; Mamiellales; Mamiellaceae
Description: partial Bacterial small subunit ribosomal RNA
Rfam family: Bacterial small subunit ribosomal RNA
Source: RNAcentral
GGGAGGAAUCAUGGACAAUGCACGAAAGUGUGAUCCUGCUAUAUCGCGUGAGUGAUGAAGGGUAUAUUGCUUGUAAAACUCUUUCAGCAAGAACAUGCUUGCAUGUAUAUGGAUAGUGACGUGUCUUGCAGAAGAAGCCCCGGCUAAUAUCUGUGCCAGCAGCCGCGGUAAUACAGAAGGGGCAAGUGUUAUUCGGAAUAAUUGGGCGUAAAUGGCGUGUAGGUUGUGUUUCGUAGCUUUUUGUUAAAUCCUUAUUGAUAUACUAAGUAAAGCGAAAAGAACGGUUACACUGGAGAC